Molecule: long non-coding RNA, 508 nt
Organism: Girardinichthys multiradiatus
Lineage: Eukaryota; Metazoa; Chordata; Actinopteri; Cyprinodontiformes; Goodeidae
Exons: 3
Source: RefSeq, a predicted model, not a curated record
CACAAACCAACCGGGCAGUUCAGCUGAGUUCCAAAGUAUACAGCGAGAAGGGUGUCAUCACUGUCCUCGGGGCUCACCUUUAUUCUGAGAGAAGAGACAUCUCCUGGCUGCUGUCCCCUCCCUUCCCCUCCGACGUUGUGAACUGACAGUAAAGGAGUGGAGAGAGGGGGAAGACAUGCAGCAAAGGUCAAUGGGCUGGGACUUGAACUUGUGACAGCUGGCAUCGAAGACUGUGGCCGUGCGUUUGACCCCUGCCCCUGCGCUUUUGCCGUCCCCCCUGUUCAGGACUUUUAAAGUGAAUUUAUGUUAAAUGUUUAUAAGCACAACUUAUAAACUACAACACCUGCAGCAGAUAAUUCUUGUGCCAUCUUCAUUUAGACCAGGACCAACUAGUCAUUUCAGAGUUGCACGUUUUAGAAGAUAAACCUAAUGGUAUUUCAAAAAGGGAAACUUGUUCCUGUUUCCCAUCUCACUGCAUAACAGGUAUCCCCUUUGUAGCAAGUAAACA